This 253-nucleotide ribosomal RNA is filed under the name uncultured bacterium. Its description in RNAcentral is "partial 16S ribosomal RNA". It matches the Rfam family "Bacterial small subunit ribosomal RNA", at positions 524 to 776 of the family's 1533-position model. The record is from RNAcentral.
UACGUAGGGUGCAAGCGUUGUCCGGAAUUAUUGGGCAUAAAGGGCUCGUAGGCGGUCCAUCGCGUCGGGAGUGAAAAGCUGGGGCUUAACCCCAGUCCUGCUUCCGAUACGGGUGGACUAGAGGUAGGUAGGGGAGAACGGAAUUCCUGGUGUAGCGGUGAAAUGCGCAGAUAUCAGGAGGAACACCGGUGGCGAAGGCGGUUCUCUGGGCCUUACCUGACGCUGAGGAGCGAAAGCAUGGGGAGCAAACAGG